This 253-nucleotide ribosomal RNA is filed under the name uncultured bacterium. Its description in RNAcentral is "partial 16S ribosomal RNA". It matches the Rfam family "Bacterial small subunit ribosomal RNA", at positions 524 to 776 of the family's 1533-position model. The record is from RNAcentral.
UACGUAGGGUGCGAGCGUUGUCCGGAAUUAUUGGGCGUAAAGGGCUCGUAGGCGGUCUGUCACGUCGGGAGUGAAAACCCGGGGCUUAACCCCGUGCCUGCUUCCGAUACGGGCAGACUAGAGGUAUGCAGGGGAGAACGGAAUUCCUGGUGUAGCGGUGAAAUGCGCAGAUAUCAGGAGGAACACCGGUGGCGAAGGCGGUUCUCUGGGCAUUACCUGACGCUGAGGAGCGAAAGUGUGGGGAGCGAACAGG